RNAcentral lists this ribosomal RNA (451 nucleotides) under uncultured bacterium. RNAcentral describes it as "partial 16S ribosomal RNA". It matches the Rfam family "Bacterial small subunit ribosomal RNA", at positions 28 to 507 of the family's 1533-position model. The record is from RNAcentral.
AGCGAACGCUGGCGGCAUGCCUAACACAUGCAAGUCGCACGGGGGGGCUUCGGCCUCCCAGUGGCGGACGGGUGAGGAACGCGUAGGGACCUGUCGAGGGGUGGGGGAUAACCGCGGGAAACUGCGGCUAAUACCGCAUGACGCCGCGGCGUGACAGCCGGGGCCAAAGGCGAAAGCCGCCCGCCGAGGGGCCUGCGUCCGAUUAGCUGGUUGGCGGGGUAGCGGCCCACCAAGGCGUCGAUCGGUAGCUGGUCUGAGAGGGUGAUCAGCCACACCGGGACUGAGACACGGCCCGGACUCCUAUGGGAGGCAGCAGUGGGGAAUAUUGGACAAUGGGCGCAAGCCUGAUCCAGCAAUGCCGCGUGGGUGAAGAAGGUCUUCGGAUUGUAAAGCCCUUUCGGCGGGGACGAUGGUGACGGUACCCGCAGAAGAAGCCCCGGCUAACUUCGUG